UAGCAAUACAGUACAAAUAUAGU
RNAcentral lists this microRNA (23 nucleotides) under Homo sapiens (human). Its description in RNAcentral is "hsa-miR-4703-5p". Lineage: Eukaryota; Metazoa; Chordata; Mammalia; Primates; Hominidae. The record is from miRBase by way of RNAcentral.